CCUACGGGUGGCAGCAGUGAGGAAUAUUGGUCAAUGGACGAGAGUCUGAACCAGCCAAGUAGCGUGAAGGAUGACUGCCCUAUGGGUUGUAAACUUCUUUUAUAAAGGAAUAAAACGAGGCACGUGUGCCUUUUUGCAUGUACUUUAUGAAUAAGGAUCGGCUAACUCCGUGCCAGCAGCCGCGGUAAUACGGAGGAUCCGAGCGUUAUCCGGAUUUAUUGGGUUUAAAGGGAGCGUAGAUGGGUUGUUAAGUCAGUUGUGAAAGUUUGCGGCUCAACCGUAUAAUUGCAAUUGAUACUGGCAGCCUUGAGUACAGUUGAGGUAGGCGGAAUUCGUGGUGUAGCGGUGAAAUGCUUAGAUAUCACGAAGAACUCCGAUUGCGAAGGCAGCUUACUAAACUGCAACUGACAUUGAUGCUCGAAAGUGUGGGUAGCAAACAGGAUUAGAUACCCCGGUAGUC
This 460-nucleotide ribosomal RNA is filed under the name uncultured bacterium. RNAcentral's name for it is "partial 16S ribosomal RNA". It matches the Rfam family "Bacterial small subunit ribosomal RNA", at positions 338 to 795 of the family's 1533-position model. The record is from RNAcentral.